GCGAGUAUGGCCCUCACGGGUCUAAUCCACCAUAAACACCUUUGUGAGCCAGUCAGGGGGACUCGGCCGUGAAAGCCCAGGCGAUUAGCGGAAGGGCCCUCCUUUGCAAACCCGUUUAGAAGUCUUGAAAGUACUUUUGUAUAAUCUAGUA
This 151-nucleotide unclassified non-coding RNA is filed under the name soil metagenome. RNAcentral describes it as "partial internal transcribed spacer 1". The record is from RNAcentral.